AAACAUAGGGGGCAAGCGUUGUCCGGAAUCACUGGGCGUAAAGGGCGCGUAGGCGGUCUGUUAAGUCGGAUGUGAAAUGUAAGGGCUCAACCCUUAACGUGCAUCUGAUACUGGCAGACUUGAGUGCGGAAGAGGCAAGUGGAAUUCCUAGUGUAGCGGUGAAAUGCGUAGAUAUUAGGAGGAACACCAGUAGCGAAGGCGGCUUUCUGGACUGUAACUGACACUGAGGCACGAAAGCGUGGGGAGC
This 247-nucleotide ribosomal RNA is filed under the name uncultured bacterium. Its description in RNAcentral is "partial 16S ribosomal RNA". It matches the Rfam family "Bacterial small subunit ribosomal RNA", at positions 523 to 769 of the family's 1533-position model. The record is from RNAcentral.